UGCAAGUCGAACGAGAAUCUACUGAAAGAGUUUUCGGACGAUGGAAGUAGAGGAAAGUGGCGGACGGGUGAGUAACGCGUGAGGAACCUGCCUUGAAGAGGGGGACAACAGUUGGAAACGACUGCUAAUACCGCAUGACGCAUAGAGGUCGCAUGAUCUUUAUGCCAAAGAUUUAUCGCUUCAAGAUGGCCUCGCGUCUGAUUAGCUAGUUGGCGGGGUAACGGCUCACCAAGGCGACGAUCAGUAGCCGGACUGAGAGGUUGAACGGCCACAUUGGGACUGAGAUACGGCCCAGACUCCUACGGGAGGCAGCAGUGGGGAAUAUUGGGCAAUGGGCGCAAGCCUGACCCAGCAACGCCGCGUGAAGGAAGAAGGCUUUCGGGUUGUAAACUUCUUUUAAGAGGGAAGAGCAGAAGACGGUACCUCUAGAAUAAGCCACGGCUAACUACGUGCCAGCAGCCGCGGUAAUACGUAGGUGGCAAGCGUUGUCCGGAUUUACUGGGUGUAAAGGGCGUGCAGCCGGGUCUGCAAGUCAGAUGUGAAAUCCAUGGGCUCAACCCAUGAACUGCAUUUGAAACUGUAGAUCUUGAGUGUCGGAGGGGCAAUCGGAAUUCCUAGUGUAGCGGUGAAAUGCGUAGAUAUUAGGAGGAACACCAGUGGCGAAGGCGGAUUGCUGGACGAUAACUGACGGUGAGGCGCGAAAGUGUGGGGAGCAAACAGGAUUAGAUACCCUGGUAGUCCACACUGUAAACGAUGAAUACUAGGUGUGCGGGG
This 774-nucleotide ribosomal RNA is filed under the name uncultured bacterium. RNAcentral describes it as "bacterial SSU rRNA". It matches the Rfam family "Bacterial small subunit ribosomal RNA", at positions 56 to 829 of the family's 1533-position model. The record is from RNAcentral.